GCGGACGUGGCGAAAUUGGUAGACGCGCUGUCUUCAGGCGGCAGUGCCUUCGGGCAUGAAGGUUCGAGUCCUUUCGUCCGCACAA
RNAcentral lists this transfer RNA (85 nucleotides) under Echinicola strongylocentroti. Its description in RNAcentral is "tRNA-Leu". It matches the Rfam family "tRNA". From Rfam's summary of the family: Transfer RNA (tRNA) molecules are approximately 80 nucleotides in length. Their secondary structure includes four short double-helical elements and three loops (D, anti-codon, and T loops). RNAcentral also lists the same sequence under 1 other name. Lineage: Bacteria; Pseudomonadati; Bacteroidota; Cytophagia; Cytophagales; Cyclobacteriaceae. The record is from RNAcentral.